CUGGAGUCCAAUCAAUGAGAUGAGAUUGGAGGUGUUGGUUACAGCUGCCCUGCCCUAUAAAAAACACACACCAGUUCUGGGUUUGAUUUUCACAAGAAGCAUUGCCUGAUGUGAAUGAUGCCUCGCACAAAAGAGCGCUCAGAAGACCUACGAUUAAGAAUUGUUGACUUGCAUAAAGCUGGAAAGGGUUAUAAAAGUAUCUCCAAAAG
Pelobates cultripes (western spadefoot toad) is the source of this 209-nucleotide non-coding RNA. The record is from the annotation of a GenBank genome assembly. NCBI's taxonomy places the organism in Eukaryota, Metazoa, Chordata, Amphibia, Anura, Pelobatidae.